UGCUUGGGUAGCUCAGUUGGUAGAGCACUUGCCCGCAAAAGGCAAAGGUCCCGAGUUCGAGCCUCGGUCCGGCAU
Molecule: transfer RNA, 75 nt
Filed under: Schistocerca americana (American grasshopper)
Lineage: Eukaryota; Metazoa; Arthropoda; Insecta; Orthoptera; Acrididae
Description: tRNA-Leu
Rfam family: tRNA
About the family: Transfer RNA (tRNA) molecules are approximately 80 nucleotides in length. Their secondary structure includes four short double-helical elements and three loops (D, anti-codon, and T loops). Further hydrogen bonds mediate the characteristic L-shaped molecular structure. tRNAs have two regions of fundamental functional importance: the anti-codon, which is responsible for specific mRNA codon recognition, and the 3' end, to which the tRNAs corresponding amino acid is attached (by aminoacyl-tRNA synthetases). tRNAs cope with the degeneracy of the genetic code in two manners: having more than one tRNA (with a specific anti-codon) for a particular amino acid; and 'wobble' base-pairing, i.e. permitting non-standard base-pairing at the 3rd anti-codon position.
Source: RNAcentral